AAGAAGAAAGACCAGCCAAAUUGCAAGAAGAAAGACAAGCCAACUGAGCGGUGACCGAAAAUGCCAUUUAACACCUACCGUUUUCGGUGCAUGUUUGUAGCUUUUUUAUUUUUAUUUUUUAAGAGUGUUUAUUUCUUGUUUA
Molecule: non-coding RNA, 142 nt
Filed under: Stygamoeba regulata
Lineage: Eukaryota; Discosea; Stygamoebida
Source: RNAcentral